Molecule: long non-coding RNA, 3231 nt
Organism: Bombus pyrosoma
Lineage: Eukaryota; Metazoa; Arthropoda; Insecta; Hymenoptera; Apidae
Exons: 5
Source: RefSeq, a predicted model, not a curated record
AGUUCUUCGAGCUUCGCUGCUACUACGGGUGCCGGCACCGCUGGGACCGCUGGGAUCACCGCUCCCUUGGAGAGAACCGCCACGCUUAAGAAUACGAUGAGCUAGAAUUUUGGAGAGAAACGACAUGGCUGACACUGGAAACUUGGACGAUCAACAAAGUGGAGGUGAAAGAAGCAGAGCAACGUAUUCUAAAGGAUCCUGAGGAUGUAAACGUUCAAUAGAGGAGGAGGCAUAAUAAAUCUACUUAGAGACCAAUCGGACAAUAUUACUCACGACUUUAGGCGACGACAUUCGAUGUAUAAUAACGUAAAUGUAUAAGAGAAGAGGAACGAUAGCAUCUAUCAUCGACCAGUUAAAAAUUGCCAUGUUUGUUUGCAAGAGGAUCGCCAGGAGACUGAUGCCUCAGGGUAAGAUUCGUCGUACUUUUAUACGCGUGAUGACUGUCGGUGUUUUCGUGUCAUCCGCCAACAAUAACCCGAGCUAUUCCUUGCACCCAAACACGAAUCGUGCACACCCGUCUUACACACGCAUACACACCGCCCCCACUUGAAUCUCUCCUUCUUUUAUUCGGGCUGCCUAUUACUCUGUUUCUUUUACCAUCCGAUGACCUCCUCAUAAAUGUUGCGAUGUCCAUACGUACAACUACGAGUCGAUGAGUAUGCGCGCUUAUGUUUCUUCAUAUCGUCGUGGCGUAUACACGCGACCUGUAUGCCAAUAUGUCGAAGAUACAGAGCCACUUCGAGGUCGUGCGACGAAACCGCGAACGUAAACCGUGAACUCCGCUGUAACCCUCUUGACGAAAGGUGUACGCACUUCCAAAAGUUUACGAUAUUGCGCGAUCGUUAUCGAUUAGCAUUUACGUCGCGCCUGCGACACCUUUGGCCAAGCCAGCACGCGAGAGAAAAAAGGGUUUCUUAACGCUAGACGAGUGAAGUAUGAGACCUGUAUCAGUGAAAUAGAAAGGAACGUGGAAAAUGUGUUGAUUGAAAGGGAAAGGAACACCUUUAACCCUAUAUUUUACAAAGAUCAUCGAUAUUCCUUAAAAUACACUGUUCGAAAUUUAGGAGAUUUCUAUGAAGAAUGACGAAUUGGUCAUUUUUACCGUUUUCUGAUUCCAGCGAUAAUACUUGCGUCGAAAGAAUGCUAACUGACCGUUCUGAUUCGAUCUUCGGUACAAUUUUAAAUUAAAAAGGAAUUCUUAACGUAUACAAUGGCAAAAAGUACCGGCUAUCGUCGUAUUUGUUGUAGCAUCUACGUACCGACUAACUGGACCCAAGUGUAUUAAAUCUCGAGCCAUUUAGCAGCACUUUGUGACGUGACUACAAAAAUUUGAUACCGUGAAAACGAAAUGAAGAUGAUCUAGUAAAAAAGGAGACAUUUCAUUGGGGAAGAAGCGUAUAUGGAAAUAUUUUUUGCAGCCGAUGUAUAUUAUUUGCGUUAAAUAGAUGCAAAAUGAAUCGAUAACGCUAUGAUAACAGCUAGCACCGAUACAUUAAUACAUUAAUGUGGUCGGAACAUGUGUCAAUCGAAUUCGUUUUAAAUUUGACACACGACCGCCGAAUUUUAAGUGCAAACGAAGUGUGAGCGGCCAUAUAAUUUGUAUGCUGAUACAUCGAGGAAAGUCAUUCGAGGUUAUUCGACGAAAUUACGAAAGGAUCGGACGCCGGAGAAACCUUUCGUUCGAAUCGAAGAAUAGAAGGAAGAGAUGAUUCAUAUAUGCUGACAUACACGAGAUGCUUUCGGUAAUUCUUCUUUAAUUCUGUUAUGUAUAUAAUAUAAUUAUCGUAAAAUAUAAAGAUAGAACGUUUAUCACGUUCAGGGAAAUUUUGCCUAUGCUUCCUUAAAUCUGUGUAAAAAGAAGUUAUCUGUGCGAAGAGACAAUGGAUAAUCUAUAAUUCGUCGAACUUUCUUUCGUAAGAAAACAUUGUGAAAGGAUUACGACAGCCGCUUGUAGUCGAUUCGUUCUUUAUUGUUAGAUCCCUUAUUUAUUAUGUACCACGCGUAUAAAUCGCAAUAAUUUAUAUUCAUUUUUGAUAUAUAUAUCGUCCACUUGUAAUAUGAUAUCUUUUAUCUAUAACAUAUAUUUUGCAGGAAAAUUAAAGGAUCAUUCGUUUCUGAUUGAAAGAAUAACUUUAUUCUGCUGUAAUACGAUCUUUAAAAUGCUACAGCAUAGAAAAGAAAGAUCGCCAAACAAUCUUCGUGGACUUACUUUGAAACGCGAUACUUCGAUUUUCUGAUCAUCAAAUUGUAUUUCCUCGUAGAUGCCUCUAUACUCGCAAAAAAAGACGUAAAAGUGAGGAUGACUUUUGUCACCAAAAAUGUAUGUUUUGAGCUAUUUCACUUUCCAUUCAAAGUGCCAUAGAACGGCGACGAAAGAUCGUAUAUCGACUAUUAAGAAAUCGUUGCCUUUAAAUCUGUUUUGAAACGAAUCGCGAAGAAAUUUCUUAAAUUUCACAGGCUUGUUCGAAUUUGUAGAAUUUUCGGAAUAAAAAAUGAUUUUCAUUUUCCCGUCCCGCUUCUAAGUAUAAAAGCGUCUUCGAGAAAAAUUAAUUUAGAGUUGAGAAAGUAGAGACUUUGCCAUCUGAAAUGAGCCCACGCUAAUAGUUGUACAAUCUGUCAUCAGGAAAUUACAGUACUUCAAAAAUUGAUAACAUUUUAAUUCAGAAUUGAUGAUCGUCUAACUUGCCUGCAAGGAUUUAAGUAAUAAAUAGCAAAUAAAAGAAAUAGGUAAAAGACCCAUUUUAUAAUUUCAGAAAACAAGGAUUUUCUAAUUUACGAUAUUUCACACAAAAAUAUUUACUUAAAUAAUCGUAUGGAAAUAUAAUUUAUUAAUUGAUAUCGAUGCAAUCGUACGAUCUAGAAAAAGAAAACACAGAUUUUAACUUUUAUUUAAAUUAAAAUGCAUCUAAUUAUAGAAUGUAGAAACAUAAUUAUGAGGAUGGGAAUAGCAAUGAUUACAAUAUAUUUUAAAAAAGUUUUUAAUAUAAACAUUUCAUUAUAAAAUAAUUGCAGUAUGUACAGUGUAAUAUGACUAGUUACAUAGUAAGCGGUACAAAACGGCAAAUAUAAAUUUCUUCUCUAUUACAAGCGAGCACUAAACAAUGCAUGACUUAAAUGACAUAAAAUUCAUUUCAUUUCCCAACGAAUGAAUCUUUUUCAUACUGAUACCAAUUUAAUGUUAUAUUCUGCUUGUUAAAACGAAAUGAGAAAAUAAAUUGAAGCUAAAAUUCU